Molecule: ribosomal RNA, 98 nt
Filed under: uncultured bacterium
Lineage: Bacteria
Description: partial 16S ribosomal RNA
Rfam family: Bacterial small subunit ribosomal RNA
Source: RNAcentral
UACACACCGCCCGUCACACCAUGGGAGUGGCUUUACCUGAAGACGGUGCGCUAACCGCAAGGAGGCAGCCGGCCACGGUAGGGUCAGCGACUGGGGUG